CCUACGGGAGGCAGCAGUGGGGAAUAUUGGACAAUGGGGGGAACCCUGAUCCAGCGACGCCGCGUGAGUGAAGAAGUAUUUCGGUAUGUAAAGCUCUAUCAGCAGGGAAGAAAGAAAUGACGGUACCUGACUAAGAAGCCUCGGCUAACUACGUGCCAGCAGCCGCGGUAAGACGUAGGGGGCAAGCGUUAUCCGGAUUUACUGGGUGUAAAGGGAGCGUAGACGGCGAUGCAAGUCUGAAGUGAAAGGCGGGGGCCCAACCCCCGGACUGCUUUGGAAACUGUAUGGCUGGAGUGCAGGAGAGGUAAGUGGAAUUCCUGGUGUAGCGGUGAAAUGCGUAGAUAUUAGGAGGAACACCAGUGGCGAAGGCGGCUUACUGGACUGUAACUGACGUUGAGGCUCGAAAGCGUGGGGAGCAAACAGGAUUAGAUACCCUUGUAGUC
RNAcentral lists this ribosomal RNA (443 nucleotides) under uncultured bacterium. Its description in RNAcentral is "partial 16S ribosomal RNA". It matches the Rfam family "Bacterial small subunit ribosomal RNA", at positions 338 to 795 of the family's 1533-position model. The record is from RNAcentral.